UACGAAGGGGGCUAGCGUUGCUCGGAAUUACUGGGCGUAAAGCGCACGUAGGCGGCUUUCUAAGUCGGGGGUGAAAUCCUGGAGCUCAACUCCAGAACUGCCUUCGAUACUGGAGAGCUUGAGUCCGGGAGAGGUGAGUGGAACUGCGAGUGUAGAGGUGAAAUUCGUAGAUAUUCGCAAGAACACCAGUGGCGAAGGCGGCUCACUGGCCCGGUACUGACGCUGACGGUGCGAAAGCGUGGGAGCAAACAGGG
RNAcentral lists this ribosomal RNA (254 nucleotides) under uncultured bacterium. Its description in RNAcentral is "partial 16S ribosomal RNA". It matches the Rfam family "Bacterial small subunit ribosomal RNA", at positions 524 to 777 of the family's 1533-position model. The record is from RNAcentral.